GUGUUGUAUGAAAGGAGAGAAGGUUAGCACUCCCCUUGAUAAGGAUGGAAGAGGUCCUAGUGGCCUUUACAACACAUAUACGGUUAAGGCAUUGCCACCUACUCUGUGGCAUCUAACCAUGUUUAA
Molecule: non-coding RNA, 126 nt
Filed under: Vombatus ursinus (common wombat)
Lineage: Eukaryota; Metazoa; Chordata; Mammalia; Diprotodontia; Vombatidae
Source: RNAcentral